RNAcentral lists this transfer RNA (66 nucleotides) under human gut metagenome. It matches the Rfam family "tRNA", at positions 6 to 65 of the family's 71-position model. From Rfam's summary of the family: Transfer RNA (tRNA) molecules are approximately 80 nucleotides in length. The record is from RNAcentral.
UCAUAGCUCAGCAGGAUAGAGCGACGGUUUCCUAAACCGCAGGCCGGGGGUUCGAAUCCCUUUGGG